UACCAGCUCUCCGAGUAGUGUGGAUGUUUAUUGGGCCUAAAGCAUCCGUAGCUUGCUAAGCAAGUCCCCUGUUAAAUCCACCGAUUUAAUCGUUGGAUUGCGGGGGAUACUGUUUGGCUAGGGGACGGGAGAGGCCGACGGUAUUUCCGGGGUAGGGGUGAAAUCCUAUAAUCCCGGGAAGACCACCAGUGGCGAAGGCUGUCGGCUAGAACGCGCCCGACGGUGAGGGAUGAAAGCUGGGGGAGCGAACCGGAUUAGAUACCCGGGUAGUCCCAGCUGUAAACGAUGCAGGCUAGGUGUUUGGGCGGCCACGAGCCGCCCUAGUGCCGCAGGGAAGCUGUUAAGCCUGCCGCCUGGGGAGUACGGCCGCAAGGCUGAAACUUAAGGAAUUGGCGGGGGAGCACCACAAGGGGUGAAGCUUGCGGUUU
RNAcentral lists this ribosomal RNA (428 nucleotides) under uncultured archaeon. RNAcentral's name for it is "bacterial SSU rRNA". It matches the Rfam family "Archaeal small subunit ribosomal RNA", at positions 474 to 903 of the family's 1478-position model. The record is from RNAcentral.